GACGAACGCUGGCGGCGUGCUUAACACAUGCAAGUCGAACGAAGAGCGAUGGAAGCUUGCUUCUAUCACUCUUAGUGGCGAACGGGUGAGUAACGCGUAAUCAACCUUCCCUUCAGAGGGGGACAACAGUUGGAAACGACUGCUAAUACCGCAUACGAUCUGACCUCGGCAUCGAGGAUAGAUGAAAGGUGGCCUCUAUUUAUAAGCUAUCACUGCAGGAGGGGAUUGCGUCUGAGUAGCUAGUUGGAGGGGUAACGGCCCACCAAGGCGAUGAUCAGUAGCCGGUCUGAGAGGAUGAACGGCCACAUUGGGACUGAGACCCGGCCCAGACUCCUACGGGAGGCAGCAGUGGGGAAUCUUCCGCAAUAGACGAAAGUCUGACGGAGCAACGCCGCGUGAGUGAUGACGGCCUUCGGGUUGUAAAGCUCUGUUAAUCGGGACGAAAGGCCUUCUUGCGAAUAGUUAGAAGGAUUGACGGUACCGGAAUAGAAAGCCACGGCUAACUACGUG
Molecule: ribosomal RNA, 510 nt
Filed under: uncultured bacterium
Lineage: Bacteria
Description: partial 16S ribosomal RNA
Rfam family: Bacterial small subunit ribosomal RNA
Source: RNAcentral